This 621-nucleotide ribosomal RNA is filed under the name Limosilactobacillus fermentum. RNAcentral's name for it is "bacterial SSU rRNA". It matches the Rfam family "Bacterial small subunit ribosomal RNA", at positions 371 to 984 of the family's 1533-position model. Lineage: Bacteria; Bacillati; Bacillota; Bacilli; Lactobacillales; Lactobacillaceae. The record is from RNAcentral.
AUGGGCGCAGCCUGAUGGAGCAAAACCGCGUGAGUGAAGAAGGGUUUCGGCUCGUAAAGCUCUGUUGUUAAAGAAGAACACGUAUGAGAGUAACUGUUCAUACGUUGACGGUAUUUAACCAGAAAGUCACGGCUAACUACGUGCCAGCAGCCGCGGUAAUACGUAGGUGGCAAGCGUUAUCCGGAUUUAUUGGGCGUAAAGAGAGUGCAGGCGGUUUUCUAAGUCUGAUGUGAAAGCCUUCGGCUUAACCGGAGAAGUGCAUCGGAAACUGGAUAACUUGAGUGCAGAAGAGGGUAGUGGAACUCCAUGUGUAGCGGUGGAAUGCGUAGAUAUAUGGAAGAACACCAGUGGCGAAGGCGGCUACCUGGUCUGCAACUGACGCUGAGACUCGAAAGCAUGGGUAGCGAACAGGAUUAGAUACCCUGGUAGUCCAUGCCGUAAACGAUGAGUGCUAGGUGUUGGAGGGUUUCCGCCCUUCAGUGCCGGAGCUAACGCAUUAAGCACUCCGCCUGGGGAGUACGACCGCAAGGUUGAAACUCAAAGGAAUUGACGGGGGCCCGCACAAGCGGUGGAGCAUGUGGUUUAAUUCGAAGCUACGCUAAGAACCUUACCAGGUCUUGA